Molecule: ribosomal RNA, 579 nt
Filed under: uncultured bacterium
Lineage: Bacteria
Description: bacterial SSU rRNA
Rfam family: Bacterial small subunit ribosomal RNA
Source: RNAcentral
CCUACGGGAGGCAGCAGUAGGGAAUAUUGGACAAUGGGCGCAAGCCUGAUCCAGCCAUCCCGCGUGAAGGAUUAAGGCCCUCUGGGUUGUAAACUUCUUUUCUCUGGGAAUAAAAACCGGUAUUCAUAUUGGCUUGAAGGUACCAGAGGAAUAAGCACCGGCUAACUCCGUGCCAGCAGCCGCGGUAAUACGGAGGGUGCAAGCGUUAUCCGGAUUCACUGGGUUUAAAGGGUGCGUAGGUGGCUUUGUAAGUCAGUGGUGAAAUGCCGCAGCUCGACUGCGGAACUGCCAUUGAUACUGCUUAGCUUGAAUCACGUCGAGGUGGAUGGAAUAAUACAUGUAGCGGUGAAAUGCUUAGAUAUGUAUUAGAACACCGAUUGCGAAGGCAGUUCACUAGGCGUGUAUUGACACUGAGGCACGAAAGCGUGGGGAUCAAACAGGAUUAGAUACCCUGGUAGUCCACGCCCUAAACGAUGUAAACUCGACAUUAGCGAUAUACUGUUAGUGUCCAAGCGAAAGCGUUAAGUUUACCACCUGGGAAGUACGACCGCAAGGUUGAAACGUCAAAUGAAUUGACGG